This 400-nucleotide ribosomal RNA is filed under the name uncultured bacterium. Its description in RNAcentral is "bacterial SSU rRNA". It matches the Rfam family "Bacterial small subunit ribosomal RNA", at positions 355 to 747 of the family's 1533-position model. The record is from RNAcentral.
UGGGGAAUUUUGGACAAUGGGGGCAACCCUGAUCCAGCCAUGCCGCGUGUCUGAAGAAGGCCUUCGGGUUGUAAAGGACUUUUGUUAGGGAGGAAAAUUUAUCCAUUAAUACUGGGUAAAGCUGACAGUACCUAAAGAAUAAGCACCGGCUAACUACGUGCCAGCAGCCGCGGUAAUACGUAGGGUGCAAGCGUUAAUCGGAAUUACUGGGCGUAAAGCGAGCGCAGGCGGUUUGUUAAGUCAGAUGUGAAAGCCCCGAGCUCAACUUGGGAAUUGCGUUUGAAACUGGCAAGCUAGAGUGUGUCAGAGGGGGGUAGAAUUCCACGUGUAGCAGUGAAAUGCGUAGAGAUGUGGAGGAAUACCGAUGGCGAAGGCAGCCCCCUGGGAUAACACUGACGCU